Molecule: long non-coding RNA, 3039 nt
Filed under: Lupinus angustifolius (narrow-leaved blue lupine)
Lineage: Eukaryota; Viridiplantae; Streptophyta; Magnoliopsida; Fabales; Fabaceae
Description: long non-coding RNA (LANG_LNC003257)
Source: RNAcentral
UUCAAAGUCUAAAUUACAAAUACAAAUAGUAAUCCACAAGUACUUGUCUUACUUAACAAACUCGAAACAUAUGACGCAAGUUCAUAACUCAGUCUACAAAACAUAUUAUAUAUUUAAAACUUUAACAUCAAUGAGUCAAAGUUGUUUCAUAUUGAGGUUCCAUUUCUUCACCAUUUAAGUCCAAAGCUUGACUAACGUUGUCUUCAACUAGGUUCACAUUCUCCAUAGGGUUGAGUUAUGCAUCAUCAUCAUCUUCUAAAUUUAAUUGAUCUACAACAAUAUCAUUUUUCAUACACCAAACUAAAUGUUCUUUCACACAUUUAACUGCUGAAAUACAGGGCACAAUAUCAUUCUGCCUUGGAUUUUUCAGAUUAUAAAACAAAAGGAUAAAAAAGAACUUCUCCAAUUCAACAACCAGGUGCCUGCAAACAAUUAGAAAAAAUUAAAAUAUAUAAAACAGAUAAAAACAAAUGAAUGAAAAUGGUGAGGUAAGAAGCACUAAGCAAUGGAUAAUGAAAGAAUAACUAAGAAAGUUUUUAUCACUAGGAAUGGUAACAAAAACUAAUGUUGGGAAAGUUAUUUUGUAAUAUGAAUCGAAUUAUCCCAAAAAAAAGAGGUUUUGGUGGCUGCAUUAUAUGGUCAUGUUCAUAAAAUUGAAUUUCUAUAGGUUAGCCGGCACAAUUUAGAGGAGGUGGUCUGAAUUCUCCAAACCAAAAAUGAAUUCUAACUUGUGCUUAUCUAUCCAAAAACACUAAAGACUAAGAAGGAAGGAAGUGUGGAAGUGAGAUGAAAAAGGAUUAAGAAGAAAUGGGAUUAAGAAUUGAGAAGGAAGGAAGGGUUUGUUCGUGUGAAUGAAGAAAAUGAGUUUCUAAUUCUAUGUGGUAUGUGCCUAUGUGAGGUUUUUAAAAAUUACAUGUAUGAACCGACCGGUUCAAUCAAAUUCCGGCUGAUUCAUAGGUUUUGACACGAUUCAUUGGUUUUUCUCUAGUUUACACCGAUUUUGAUGCUUAGCUGACACAACACUUGUUUCAUAUCGGUUAUGGGACCGGUUGGCCAGUUCUCUGGUCGAACCGGCCGGUCCGAACCGGUUUUAAUAACAUUGAUCCUUACCAAGUCAAACAUUAUCACAUUGUUUUCAUAAAAAGAGUCGAUGAAAAUCAACACGUGCCGGUGAUCCACAUUGAACAUCACAUCAUUCUGUUUUCCUCUAUUAAUAAUAGUUUAAAUUCUAUUCCAUAAACUUUUUUAGUGUUAUAUAAAUGUAUAAGGAAUGAUAUAAGGAAAGUGUAAAAUAUUUGGAGACUAUCAAUAAAUAUUAAAUUAUAAAUUGUAAAAUGUAUAAUAACCAGUUUUAAUAUCUUAAACUUUGUGGAUAAAGAUUAUAUAUCCUGAAUAGUGUCCCAUUCUAUUUUUCAAGCCAAUUACAUAUUAUCACAUAAAUAAAAAAUUUAUUUUUAAAAAAGUAACAUUUUAAUUUGUUUGAGAAAUGAAAUAUAACACUGUUUGUGACAUAUAAUCAAUGUUCAAACUUUAUAUGAGUUGAGUCCUAAGGCUAUAUGAUAUGAAGUGAGUCUCGCGAUUCUACGAGGCUUUGAGAAGUACUAUAAUUUAUUAGCAAAAUUUGAACUGGUGGACUUAUGUAAUAUAAACUAUUUUUUUAUCAAUUGGACCAACCUUGGUUGGUCCAUUCAUGUCUGGUUAAUAGUUAGGACUUUCUAACGGAUCCAACUUACGGGAUUCAUAGUGCAAGACUUGCAUGGACACAUGUCCAAUAAACACAAAUAAUGCUAAUUAUUAAGUUUGGAAUUUAGAUAUAAUGAAACUUUAACAAGAGUUUUAUUGUUUUUAAAAUCUUGUAACAAAUUUAAUAAUUUAUAUCAUAUAUAUAUAAUAUAUAAAUAAAAGUUUGCUAAUAUGAGUCAUCAAUAUGUUAGUAGAAUGUAGAUAAAAGUUGGAUAAAAAAUACUCUCAUUUACUCUACAUGAAACAAUUAUAUAGUCAAAGUUAUUUUUUAAAUUGCUUAUUAAAAAUAAAAAAUAAAAAAACUGUUUUUAUUUCCUCUUCCAAACAAACAUUAUUCCACACCUUUCUAUUCUAUAAAUUGUUCCUCAAAUUUCCUUAGGGAUCACAUAUGCUAUCCCAUACAAAUGUGUCACUCCAUGUGUCAUUUAUCCUAAUUGGUUGGAAAAAUUAUAUAUUAGUUAAAAAUUUAAUAAUAAAUUAUUUUUCUAACCAAUCAGAAGAAGUGACAUGAAGUAAUAUACUUUUUGGGACAGAAGACGUGCUGCUAUUCAAUUAACACUAACAACUUGACACCAUAUAUAAUUAUAUACGUGGUUAAUUUACCUUUGCACUUUUUUAGAAAUAAUUAUGUAAAUAGAGCAGUUUUUAAACUAUUUAUAAAUUUGUGAUUAGUUCUAAAAAAUAUUUACUAAAAUAAAGCAGUCAAAAUAAAUUAUUUAUCAAAAUGGGUAGUCAUAGUUAAAGUAAACUAGUGACAUACGUGUUGCAUGUUGAAGUAACGACACGUAGCAGCGUGCCCCCGCUCCUUUUUUUCAUUUUUAUAUUUUUAAAAUCAAACUUUUUUAAAAAAUUGCAUAAGAUAUUUAUUUAAAUUUUACUACUUUUUUCAAAAAUACAACAAUUUAUUUUAUAUCACUAAUUUAAAACUCCUACAACACAACUAAAACAAUUUAUACUUUCAAUCUCCACUAUCCAAAUUAUAAUGAGGUUGAGAAUGAGUAUUUAUAGGGUGGAGGGGAAUUAAUUUUGGUGGUUGAAAAUUGAGAGUUAUAAAGUUAGAUAGUUGAGAGUUGAUUGGUAUAAAUUGUUAUAGUUGGGUGGUAGAAAAUUUUAAAUAAGAGAUAUAAAAUAAAUUGUUGUAUGUUUUAAAUAAAAGUAAUAAAAUUUAAAUAAAUAUCUACAACAAAUCUUUUUUAUAAAAUUUGAUUUAAAAAAAUCUAAAAAUAAACAUAAAUAAAUUACCUUAUAGAUGAAGAAAGAAGAGGAUGAGUAGGAAGAAAAGAGUGGGAUAAAGUG